AUUGAACGCUGGCGGCAUGCCUUACACAUGCAAGUCGAACGGCAGCACGGGAGCUUGCUCCUGGUGGCGAGUGGCGAACGGGUGAGUAAUAUAUCGGAACGUACCCUAGAGUGGGGGAUAACGCAGCGAAAGUUGCGCUAAUACCGCAUACGAUCUACGGAUGAAAGUGGGGGAUCGCAAGACCUCAUGCUCAUGGAGCGGCCGAUAUCUGAUUAGCUAGUUGGUGGGGUAAAGGCCUACCAAGGCAUCGAUCAGUAGCUGGUCUGAGAGGACGACCAGCCACACUGGAACUGAGACACGGUCCAGACUCCUACGGGAGGCAGCAGUGGGGAAUUUUGGACAAUGGGCGCAAGCCUGAUCCAGCAAUGCCGCGUGAGUGAAGAAGGCCUUCCGGGUUGUAAAGCUCUUUUGUCCAGGGAAGAAACGGUGAGGGCUAAUAUCCUUUGCUAAUGACGGUACCUGAAGAAUAAGCACCGGCUAACUA
Molecule: ribosomal RNA, 484 nt
Filed under: Herminiimonas saxobsidens
Lineage: Bacteria; Pseudomonadati; Pseudomonadota; Betaproteobacteria; Burkholderiales; Oxalobacteraceae
Description: bacterial SSU rRNA
Rfam family: Bacterial small subunit ribosomal RNA
Source: RNAcentral